Molecule: ribosomal RNA, 440 nt
Filed under: uncultured bacterium
Lineage: Bacteria
Description: partial 16S ribosomal RNA
Rfam family: Bacterial small subunit ribosomal RNA
Source: RNAcentral
CCUACGGGAGGCAGCAGUGGGGGAUAUUGCACAAUGGGGGAAACCCUGAUGCAGCGACGCCGCGUGAGUGAAGAAGUAUUUCGGUAUGUAAAGCUCUAUCAGCAGGGAAGAAAAUGACAGUACCUGACCAAGAAGCCCCGGCUAACUACGUGCCAGCAGCCGCGGUAAUACGUAGGGGGCAAGCGUUAUCCGGAUUUACUGGGUGUAAAGGGAGCGUAGGCGGUUAUAUAAGUCUGGAGUGAAAGCCCGGGGCUCAACCCCGGGACUGCUUUGGAAACUGUGUAACUGGAGUACAGGAGGGGCAGGCGGAAUUCCUGGUGUAGCGGUGAAAUGCGUAGAUAUCAGGAGGAACACCGGCGGCGAAGGCGGCCUGCUAGACUGAAACUGACGUUGAGGCUCGAAAGCGUGGGGAGCAAACAGGAUUAGAUACCCGAGUAGUC